AGCGAACGCUGGCGGCAGGCUUAACACAUGCAAGUCGAGCGGGCAUCUUCGGAUGUCAGCGGCAGACGGGUGCGUAACACGUGGGAACGUACCCUUCGGUUCGGAACAACUCUGGGAAACUGGAGCUAAUACCGGAUACGCCCUUAUGGGGAAAGGUUUACUGCCGAAGGAUCGGCCCGCGUCUGAUUAGCUAGUUGGUGGAGUAACGGCCUACCAAGGCGACGAUCAGUAGCUGGUCUGAGAGGAUGAUCAGCCACACUGGGACUGAGACACGGCCCAGACUCCUACGGGAGGCAGCAGUGGGGAAUAUUGGACAAUGGGCGCAAGCCUGAUCCAGCCAUGCCGCGUGAGUGAUGAAGGCCUUAGGGUUGUAAAGCUCUUUUGUCCGGGACGAUAAUGACGGUACCGGAAGAAUAAGCCCCGGCUAACUUCGUG
RNAcentral lists this ribosomal RNA (435 nucleotides) under uncultured bacterium. RNAcentral's name for it is "partial 16S ribosomal RNA". It matches the Rfam family "Bacterial small subunit ribosomal RNA", at positions 29 to 507 of the family's 1533-position model. The record is from RNAcentral.